CCCCCCCCGUGCUCAAUGGAGCCCCCGCCCCCCGACCCCACCUCGCCGCCGGCGACCGGCUCCCCCGCCGCCGCUGAGGGCUCCUCCCCGUCCCCGGGAGGCGGCGAUGGCGAGGCGGCGGAGGGCGGGUUCAGCGCGGGGCUGGAGCCGCUCUGGUCGCUCCUUUUCGGCGACCCCGAGGAGCUGGAGCCCAUGUGGUCGCCGCCCAGGGACUUCGGCGUCGGCGCGGGGUUCGCGGCCCCGGAGCCGGACGCCGACGAGGGCGACGCCGAGGGGCCCUGGGACGGCGCGCCGUGGCGCUCCACCGGGAUCGUCGCCGGCGAGGGCGCGGCCGCCGCGUUCCCGGAGUUCGACCCCGCCGCGGAAGCUUCCACGGGAGGGGCCGCGCCAGAGGUGAGGCCGCUCGAUUAUUCCGCCCCCGAUUCUGCUUCGCCGGUGCCGCCGUGCUCCCAAGCUCCGGUGCCUUUAGAGGUGCGUGCGCCCGAGCUGGUCCCCGGCUGGGACGAGCCUGCGCUACCGCCCGCAGCGGCUUCUUCGGAAGCCAAACUAGAGGAGUGCACCCUCAACUCGGUGCCAUCGCCGCCGGCCCCGCCUUCUCGGGAUGAUCCUGAUUUGGGGGCAGAGGACGGGUCCUCCCCGCAGAAAAUCACCUCGGGAGCCAUGGUGGUUGUUGGUCUGACUGCGGUGGAACGUCCUGAGGUCAAUGCAGCUAGCUGCAGUAUGCCAGAUGUUGUUGGCAGAGAUCGCACACCUCUCCGGAGGUCCCCGAGGAUUGUGGCAGCCAAGGCCAAAGCAUAUGCCGCGUCUCUGGAACGGAAUGCUGACUCAUCUAGAGCUUCCAAGCUCCGGUUAGCAGUUUCUGGGCGGAGCAGCAUCAGUGAAGGGAGCCUACUUGAGGAGACGACCACAGUUGACUUGCUCGAUGGGGUGAAGCAGCAAGGAUCACGAGAGAUUGUUGCAGUGCAGAGCUCCUCUAUCACUGUUGUGGUGGCUUUACCUGUGGUGAACAAAAGGACCUUGAAGAACAAAGCAGUGCCCGUGUCCUCUCCAAGGAAGACUAGAUCAGCCUCAAAGGUAUUAGUGAAUUCCAACAGGGUCUCAGCUGUCUCGCCAGCAAUGAAUUGUGGGCCUGUGAACAAAGCAGGUUCUCAUAUACCUCCUAGGAAGCACAAGCUUGCUUCUGAGAAAUGCUUGCCCAGUUUGGAGAGAGUGGAUGCUGUGUUACAUAACUCUGGGUUAGUGAGUGCUAAUAAAGUUGAGAUGCCCCUAGAGCUCCAGGCAGCAGCAUCUCAACCUCCAAAGGCAAAAAGGGCCAGGGUAUCCUCAGGGAAAUGCUCAUCCAACUUGAGGAGGGCAGAGAACAAUAAUACCUCAAUCUGCAAACUGCCAAUGGUCACGGUGACCUCAGAUCCAGAGGAUAAGCCUAAACUUAUAUUGGAUAAGUAUUCUAUUGAUUCUGAAAUGGUGGAUGGCGAGGAUGGUUCCUGUUUCUUUAUGGGUGAGGCAGUGCCUGACGAGGAGGCUAGGCAGAGGUGGCCUAACCGCUAUCAGAGCAAUCAUUGCCUUCUGAAGAAGGAUAAGUGGAGCAAUACCCAAACGUUUUCCAAUGCUGGCAAAGCUGUCUUCGAUGUCAAAUGUCACUAUUUGCAAGCUAGUGUAUGUGGAUCUACUUUAUGUAUUGGGGAUUGUGCAUUCAUUAAGGGUCCAGAAGGAAAACCACAUUAUAUUGGCAGGUUGUUAGAAUUCUUCGAAACGAGUGGAGGUGAAUAUUACUUCAGUGUGCAGUGGUUUUUCAGAUCUGAAGACACGGUCAUGGAAGACCAAGCACAGUCUCAUGACCCAAGGAGGCUCUUUUACUCAGACCUGAAGGACGACAAUUUACUAGACUGCAUUGUUUCUAAAGUGACCAUCGUGCAAGUUUCCCCUAGUGUAAAUGAAAAGUCUCGAUCAAUUCCUUCGUUUCACUAUUACUAUGACAUGAAGUACUCUCUGGAUUAUAGUACAUUCUCUACCAUGGAAAUGGGAAGUUCAAAUGACACAUUACAGUUACAUUACACUAGUAGCAGCAGCAACAGUGUGAAAAGGAUCGAUUCCACUGGAAGGCAGAAGUCUCCCACACCAGAGAUGGAGCUCUCUCUGUUAGAUCUGUACUGUGGUUGUGGGGGGAUGUCCACUGGACUUUGUUUUGGGGCUCGUGGUGGUGGUGUGAAUCUUAUAGCGAGAUGGGCUGUUGAUGGAGAUGAAGCUGCAUGUGAAAGCUUCAGACUGAAUCAUCCAGAAACUCGGGUCCGGAAUGAAACCACCGACGAUUUUCUUGAGUUGUUGAAGCAAUGGGAAAAACUGUGCAAAACUUAUGUGAAGCUUCGGAGUAAACUAAAGUCCCAUUCCAGCGAUUUAGCACAAUCCAGUAGAGAAACUCUAGAGUGUUCUACAGUUCCUCCUGAAGAAUUCGAAGUAUGGAAGCUAGUUGAUAUUUGCUUCGGGGAUCCAAAUGGUGUCGGAAAGCGUGGCUUAUACUUUAAGGUCCGUUGGAAAGGUUAUGGCCCUAAUGAUGACACAUGGGAGCCAAUUGAAGGCUUAAAGAACUGCAAAGAGGCAAUUAGGGAUUUUGUUAUUCAAGGGCAGAAGGAAAAAAUAUUACCGCUUCCUGGUGAUGCGGAUGUCAUAUGUGGGGGACCACCAUGCCAAGGCAUCAGUGGCUACAACCGCAAUAGAGAAUUUGAUGCACCAUUCAAAUGUGAGAGAAACAAGCAGAUUAUUGUCUUCAUGGAUGUAAUACAAUUUUUGAAGCCCAAAUACAUUUAUAUGGAAAAUGUCCUUGAUAUAUUGAAGUUUGCUGAUGCAACACUUGCAAGAUAUGCUUUAAGCCGGCUAGUUGCUAUGCAUUACCAAACAAAACUCGGGAUCAUGGCUGCUGGGUGUUAUGGCCUCCCACAAUUCCGAAUGCGUGUAUUUUUGUUGGGCUGUCAUCCUAAGGAGAAAUUACCCCCAUUUCCUCUUCCUACUCAUGAGGCAAUCGUGAAGAAUGGUUGCCCAUUGGCUUUCGAGGUGGCGAAUGGAGAAAAACGUGAAGAAAUGCUAUAUGUAAAGGGACCUCAGACGGAAUUCCAAAGAUACAUUCGGUCAUUUAAUUCUGGUUUGUUGAUUGCUUACAUUUGUAUAGAAGAAACUUGAAUGCUCUUUUCAUGUCAUGUUGAGUUGUAGGUUCUGAUGGCUAGAAAUAUCUAUUUUGUUCACUAUAGUAAUAUUGAGAUGACUGAUUCCAUUCUUGAGAGAUGAUAAUUAACUUGUAUGCUUUUGUAAUGGUCUUUUGCAUACAACUAAAGUUAUCUGAAAGACAAUUUAAUUGGUAUAAAUUGUGGGAUAUUAUUUGACAAAAUAAGUAUAAAGAUAGCUAAAAAUGAGACUUGAAACAACAUGUAUCAGAUAUGUUCCCUUGGUUUCUAUCUGCAUGCCACUACCACGGAAAUCAAUGUUAGAGUCAGCUUGGGUAUUUUGUGGACUAAAAGCUCUUUUUCUUUCUAUUUUUUCAAUUUUUUUGUGCUCACUGCUAUUUCUGAUUCUCAUAACCAUGUUUGUUGGCAUCACUUCGUGAUAGCUACGGUGCAAAACUCUCACAUGAAAUUGUCUUCCUCCCUGUCCAGAAGUGCUUGGAUCCAGAGCUCAUGUCACAGAAGUUUCCAGGUCAAAAUUGUAUGACCAUCGACCAAAAGCACUAGAUGAUGAUAACUACCUAAGAGUAUUGCAGAUUCCCAAGAAAAAGGUUGUCUGAGAUGCUUGUAUUUACGUAAAACUCUAUGUUAAAGAAACCUCUACAAUCUCAUCAGUCCUGUUUCAGGGAGCUAAUUUUAGAGACCUUCCGGGAGUCAUAGUAGGUCCAGACAAUGUAGCUAGAUUAGAUCCAACUAAGCAGAGAAUACUUUUGCCUUCUGGUAAUCCUCUGGUAAGAUGCUCGAGACAAACACCUCUGAGAUACACUAUACUUCUCUUUAGAUGUGAAUUUUGACAAAUUUCCCAAUUUACAUCAGGUAAUUGAUUGUGUGCUAACCUAUGAGCAUGGUAAAUCAUUAAGGUUGGUUUCAAUUUUUAUAGUAUUUAUAUGUUUUUGCAUUCAUGUUUUAGUGGUUCCUUUUGGUAAUAUGUUUCAGACCAUAUGGUCGACUGUGGUGGGAUGAGGUAGUUGGAACCGUGCUGACAUCUCCAAAUGCUCGCAUGCAGGCCUUAAUACAUCCUGCACAAGACAGACUGCUAACUAUUCGUGAAAGC
Panicum virgatum (switchgrass) is the source of this 4266-nucleotide RNA transcript. It is a transcript of the gene named DNA (cytosine-5)-methyltransferase CMT2-like, with no coding region annotated. The transcript is spliced from 15 exons. The record is from RefSeq and is a predicted model, not a curated record. Lineage: Eukaryota; Viridiplantae; Streptophyta; Magnoliopsida; Poales; Poaceae.